Podarcis lilfordi (Lilford's wall lizard) is the source of this 71-nucleotide non-coding RNA. Lineage: Eukaryota; Metazoa; Chordata; Lepidosauria; Squamata; Lacertidae. The record is from the annotation of a GenBank genome assembly.
GCCCAUAGCUCAGUGAUUAGAGCAUCUGCUUUGCAUGCAGGAGGUCUCCGGUUCAAUCCCCAGCAUCUCCA